This 274-nucleotide ribosomal RNA is filed under the name uncultured bacterium. RNAcentral describes it as "partial 16S ribosomal RNA". It matches the Rfam family "Bacterial small subunit ribosomal RNA", at positions 523 to 796 of the family's 1533-position model. The record is from RNAcentral.
AUACGGAGGGGGCUAGCGUUGUUCGGAAUUACUGGGCGUAAAGCGCGCGUAGGCGGAUUGAUCAGUCAGAGGUGAAAUCCCAGGGCUCAACCCUGGAACUGCCUUUGAUACUGUCAGUCUUGAGUUCGGGAGAGGUGAGUGGAAUUCCGAGUGUAGAGGUGAAAUUCGUAGAUAUUCGGAGGAACACCAGUGGCGAAGGCGGCUCACUGGCUCGAUACUGACGCUGAGGUGCGAAAGCGUGGGGAGCAAACAGGAUUAGAAACCCCAGUAGUCC